Molecule: ribosomal RNA, 253 nt
Filed under: uncultured bacterium
Lineage: Bacteria
Description: partial 16S ribosomal RNA
Rfam family: Bacterial small subunit ribosomal RNA
Source: RNAcentral
GACAGAGGUGCCGAGCGUUAGGCGGAAUCACUGGGCUUAAAGCGUGUGUAGGCGGACCGUUAAGUACCUUGUGAAAUCCUGCGGCUCAACCGCAGAACGGCUGGGUAUACUGGCGGUCUUGGGCCACCUAGGGGCAGAUGGAACAAGUGGUGGAGCGGUGAAAUGCGUAGAUAUCACUUGGAACGCCAAAGGUGAAAACAGUCUGCUGGGGGUGUGCCGACGCUGAGACACGAAAGCCAGGGGAGCGAACGGG